RNAcentral lists this ribosomal RNA (2376 nucleotides) under Triticum aestivum (bread wheat). RNAcentral describes it as "partial small subunit ribosomal RNA". Lineage: Eukaryota; Viridiplantae; Streptophyta; Magnoliopsida; Poales; Poaceae. The record is from RNAcentral.
AUGGGCUUCUUGCACUUUAAUACCAAUAGUGACAUCUUGCACAGUUGCGUCGCACACGACUACACAGAUUUUAACACGACCAUUUUUUACAACCUAACCAACUCCUAUGUCGCCCAGUUCAACCACACCAGCACCUUGCUCACCUCCAUCAUCAUGUUCGUCCUCGCAGCGCUCUUCUUCAACCUCAACCUCUUCAGCAGGCUCUCCGACGUCAGCGCCAUCCUCGACCCCAGCGUCCGCCUCUUCAUCACCUCCGCGCUCUCCCUCUUCCUCCCCGUCAUGUCCUACCUCUUCUCCGAGGCCAGGAACGCCACCGGUGGCGCCCGCUCCAAGUUCACGGACGAGCUGCCCCUGCGAGCCCGGCUCAUCCUCAUCUGGAUGCUCCUUGUGGAGCUCCUCCGCAAGAAGGCCGAGGAGAUCCACAUGCAGGGUUACUCCGGCACCAUGGACCGUGUGGGGCGUGUCCUCUUGCUGGGGAGCUUCGUCUUCUUCCACCUGCAUGAUGCUGGCAAGCGGUCCAUGCUGGGCAUCCUCUGGCUUCUCUGUGCCACUAGGCUGGUACAGAGGAUCGUCUUCACCGAGGUCGGGAAACGCUCCCUUGCCUACGGUGUAGGCAAGAACGCUAGGCUCAUCACCUCCUACAUGGCUCAAGUGCUCGAAGAAGAUCAAAUGGAGCACCGUCACCAUAGCCUGGAUGGAGACGAGCUACUCAGGAGGUGCAAGUACGCGGUGAUGGAAGAAGAGAAUCUGGUGGUUCAGGCCAGCCCGGAUGGCUACCGCCUAACCAGCGACGCCGCCGCCGUCACCGUCGGCAAGAUCUGGGGGCUUGCCGAGAUCUCUUCCCUGGACGGAGAUAAACGUCUGAGGCAGCUCUGCCUCUCCUUUGCACUCUUCAAGCUGCUGCGCCGGAGGUUCGAGCGCCUGCCGGCAAUGACCGCGGCGGAGACCCGCAGCUACCGGGAACUCAUCUUCAAAGGUAUGCGCACCGACAUAGAGAAAGAGACAGCAGGGGCAAGCACGGACACGGCGGAGGCCCUGUUCCGGCUGACCAACGACGAGCUCAGCUUCCUAUGCGAGUAUUACCACCCGGUCGUCCCCGUCGUCCUGGCAAGUCCCUUCUUCCUGCUCGCCAACUACUUGCUGCUCCCGAUGCUCGUCCUCGUCCUCUGCCUCGUCCUCAUCGUCCUCUGCACCAACGGCGACAUCGGCUACGCCCGGGACAGCAUCAAGGACGACAACUACUUUACUUUCUUCAGCGUAACCACUAUGAUGACCGGGUGCCUGCCUAAAAUCUUUACUUCCCGCUUAGUUUUCUUCUCCUUCUUGGACUUCUCCAUCACCUCGCUCCUAUUCCUCAUGGUUGUCUACGAGGAAGUGUGGGAGUUCCUCGUCCUUGUGCUCUCCGACUGGUUCAUGGUGUCACUGCUAUGCAAGUACGCUGUGAAACCCGACGGGCGCCUUGGCCGCGUCUUCCACUGGGCCAUCCACGGCAUCACGGGGAUGCGAAGCAUCAUGCAUCGCCCACACAUUAGCUUCAACCAGCUCUGUGUGGUGAGGUUUUGCUGGCUAGCAAUGCCGUUUUCGUUCUCGCUCCCCGUGACGCUGCCCAUCAUACCAUUACCAGCCAUGCCUGUGCCGGACCAGGUGAAGCUUUCCAUCAUGGAAUAUCUCGCCAACGAGUUGCACGACCUUCAUGGCAACCCUACCUCACUUACACUGAGCAGAGGCGGGUUCGCGCUUGCAGACCACACGGAUCUCUUGCCUUUCUGCGAGAGUGACAGUGUCGCCGAGGUUAUCCUUACUUGGCACAUCGCCACCAGCCUCUUCGAGGUGAUGCAUUCCACAACCUCUGAUGAUCAUGCUCAGGCUCAGAGCCUGUCCAAGUACUGCGCUUACCUUGUGGCCAUCCACCCGGAGCUGCUCCCCGAAUACCAGGAGAGCACGGAGCUCGUGUUCAAGGACAUGAUGCUCGAGCUGAGUGGUGUACUCGGGUUCUGGCGCUGCUACUUCUCGCCGUGCGUCAACACCCGGUACAACAAGAUCAUGGGCGCCCCAGAGCAGCCGAGCAGCAUGCCAAGAAAUGUCGUGAAAAGAGGCGCGGAGUUAGCAAAGAAGCUGGAGAAGAAAGCUCGUGAUGCCAAGGAUUCUGGGGAAGCGGUGUGGAAGCUGCUGGCAAAUCUUUGGGUGGAGCUCGUCGUCUACGUCGCGCCAUCCAAUGACGAUGGUUGUAUAAUGGGGCACGAGAAACUGCUAGUUAAGGGUGGCGAGUUCAUCACCAUGCUCUGGGCGCUGGCCUCGCACGCCGGCAUAAGCCGUCCAGCCGAUAUACCACGGGCGCACGUCGCAAUUGAACGUGUGACUGACGUUAUUGUAUAG